This 200-nucleotide ribosomal RNA is filed under the name uncultured bacterium. RNAcentral's name for it is "partial 16S ribosomal RNA". It matches the Rfam family "Bacterial small subunit ribosomal RNA", at positions 30 to 242 of the family's 1533-position model. The record is from RNAcentral.
AUUGAACGCUGGCGGCAGGCCUAACACAUGCAAGUCGAGCGGGGUUUUCGGACCUAGCGGCGGACGGGUGAGUAAUGCGUAGGAAGCUGCCCGAUAGAGGGGGAUACCAGUUGGAAACGACUGUUAAUACCGCAUAAUGUCUACGGACCAAAGUGUGGGACCUUCGGGCCACAUGCUAUCGGAUGCGCCUACGAGGGAUU